Molecule: ribosomal RNA, 701 nt
Filed under: uncultured bacterium
Lineage: Bacteria
Description: bacterial SSU rRNA
Rfam family: Bacterial small subunit ribosomal RNA
Source: RNAcentral
UGACGACCGGCGCACGGGUGCGUAACGCGUAUGCAACCUACCUCAUACUGGAGAAUAGCCCUUGGAAACGAGGAUUAAUGCUCCAUAGUAUCACAGAUUCGCAUGUUUCUGUGAUUAAAGAAUUUCGGUAUGAGAUGGGCAUGCGUCCCAUUAGCUUGUUGGUGAGGUAACGGCUCACCAAGGCAACGAUGGGUAGGGGGCCUGAGAGGGUGACCCCCCACACUGGUACUGAGACACGGACCAGACUCCUACGGGAGGCAGCAGUGAGGAAUAUUGGGCAAUGGAGGCAACUCUGACCCAGCCAUGCCGCGUGAAGGAUGACUGCCCUAUGGGUUGUAAACUUCUUUUAUAUGGGAAGAAACUUAUCUACGUGUAGAUAACUGACGGUACCAUACGAAUAAGGAUCGGCUAACUCCGUGCCAGCAGCCGCGGUAAUACGGAGGAUCCAAGCGUUAUCCGGAUUCAUUGGGUUUAAAGGGUCCGUAGGCGGGUCUUUAAGUCAGUGGUGAAAGCCGACAGCUCAACUGUCGAACUGCCAUUGAUACUGGAGACCUUGAGUACAAAUGAAGUAGGCGGAAUGAGUCAUGUAGCGGUGAAAUGCAUAGAUAUGACUCAGAACACCGAUUGCGAAGGCAGCUUACUAACAUGUAACUGACGCUGAGGGACGAAAGCGUGGGGAGCGAACAGGAUUAGAUACCCUA